GCUUGCUUUCUUUGCUGGCGACCGGCGCACGGGUGAGUAACACGUAUCCAACCUACCCUUUACUCGGGGAUAGCCUUUCGAAAGAAAGAUUAACACCCGAUAGCAUAAUGAUUCCGCAUGGUUUCAUUAUUAAAGGAUUCCGGUAAAGGAUGGGGAUGCGUUCCAUUAGGUUGUUGGUGGGGUAACGGCCCACCAAGCCUUCGAUGGAUAGGGGUUCUGAGAGGAAGGUCCCCCACAUUGGAACUGAGACACGGUCCAAACUCCUACGGGAGGCAGCAUG
Molecule: ribosomal RNA, 280 nt
Filed under: uncultured bacterium
Lineage: Bacteria
Description: partial 16S ribosomal RNA
Rfam family: Bacterial small subunit ribosomal RNA
Source: RNAcentral